AGAGUUUGAUCAUGGCUCAGGAUGAACGCUGGCGGCGUGCCUAACACAUGCAAGUCGAGCGAUCUUCUUCGGAAGAGAGCGGCGGACGGGUGAGUAACACGUGGGUAACCUGCCUCAUACACAUGGAUAACAUACCGAAAGGUAUGCUAAUACAAGAUGAUAUAAGAGAUUCGCAUGGAUUUCUUAUCAAAGCCCCGGCGGUAUGAGAUGGACCCGCGUCUGAUUAGCUAGUUGGUAAGGUAAUGGGCUUACCAAGGCGACGAUCAGUAGCCGACCUGAGAGGGUGAUCGGCCACAUUGGAACUGAGACACGGUCCAAACUCCUACGGGAGGCAGCAGUGGGGAAUAUUGCACAAUGGGCGAAAGCCUGAUGCAGCAACGCCGCGUGAGCGAUGAAGGCCUUCGGGUCGUAAAGCUCUGUCCUCAAGGAAGAUAAUGACGGUACUUGAGGAGGAAGCCCCGGCUAACUACGUG
RNAcentral lists this ribosomal RNA (473 nucleotides) under uncultured bacterium. RNAcentral describes it as "bacterial SSU rRNA". It matches the Rfam family "Bacterial small subunit ribosomal RNA", at positions 8 to 507 of the family's 1533-position model. The record is from RNAcentral.